AAGCGGAGGAAAAGAAACUAACAAGGAUUCCCCUAGUAACGGCGAGUGAAGCGGGAAGAGCUCAAAUUUGUAAUCUGGCACUUUCAGUGUCCGAGUUGUAAUCUCGAGAAGURUUUUCCGCGCCGGACUGCAUACAAGUCUGUUGGAAUACAGCGUCAUAGUGGUGAGAACCCCGUAACUGAUGCAGAUGCCCGGUGCUUUGUGAUAYACUUUCGAAGAGUCGAGUUGUUUGGGAAUGCAGCUCAAAUUGGGUGGUAAAUUCCAUCUAAAGCUAAAUAUUGGCGAGAGACCGAUAGCGAACAAGUACCGUGAGGGAAAGAUGAAAAGCACUUUGGAAAGAGAGUUAACAGUACGUGAAAUUGUUGGAAGGGAAACGCUUGAAGUCAGACUUGCUAUUUGGAAUUCAGCCGCAAGGUGUACUUUUCAAUUCGCAGGCCAGCAUCAGUUUUUGGGGGUGGAAAAGGGUAGAGAGAAGGUAGCAGUUUCGGCUGUGUUAUAGCUCUUUGCUGGAUUCAUCCUUGGGGACUGAGGAACGCAGCACGCUUUUUGCAAGGCUUUCGAGCUUUUCGUGCUUAGGAUGCUGGUGGAAUGGCUUUAAACGACCCGUCUUGA
This 612-nucleotide ribosomal RNA is filed under the name Phenoliferia sp. Its description in RNAcentral is "partial large subunit ribosomal RNA". The record is from RNAcentral. Lineage: Eukaryota; Fungi; Basidiomycota; Microbotryomycetes; Kriegeriales; Kriegeriaceae.